GAUUUAUUUAUUUGAGAGAUUUCAGAGUCGCCACUUAGGAUAAUUAUAGGUGUCCAAGUCACCAGUUUAAAAUCCCGAAUCGAGGAAGGUUUGACUCUGUUAUACAGUCUGCGAGCCAGAAAUCCAGGUAAGGAAUCUAUUAACCCCGGAGAAGGUGUUAGCCAUUCCCGAGUUCCGUGGUUCUAGCACGGUUGAUCAACUAAUAUAUUCGGCUUA
This 216-nucleotide long non-coding RNA is filed under the name Nicotiana benthamiana. Its description in RNAcentral is "long non-coding RNA (NBEN_LNC033190)". Lineage: Eukaryota; Viridiplantae; Streptophyta; Magnoliopsida; Solanales; Solanaceae. The record is from RNAcentral.